AUUGAACGCUGGCGGCAUGCCUUACACAUGCAAGUCGAACGGAUUCAAGAGGCUUGCUUCUCGAGUUAGUGGCGAACGGGUGAGUAAAGCAUCGGAACGUACCCAGUUGUGGGGGAUAACGUAGCGAAAGUUACGCUAAUACCGCAUACGCACUGAGGUGGAAAGCGGGGGACCGAAAGGCCUCGCGCAAUUGGAGCGGCCGAUGUCGGAUUAGCUAGUUGGUGAGGUAAAGGCUCACCAAGGCGACGAUCCGUAGCUGGUCUGAGAGGACGACCAGCCACACUGGAACUGAGACACGGUCCAGACUCCUACGGGAGGCAGCAGUGGGGAAUUUUGGACAAUGGGCGAAAGCCUGAUCCAGCCAUGCCGCGUGAGUGAAGAAGGCCUUCGGGUUGUAAAGCUCUUUCAGACGGAAAGAAAUCUUUCGGGUGAAUAUCCCGGAAGGAUGACGGUACCGUAAGAAGAAGCACCGGCUAACUACGUGCCAGCAGCCGCCGUAA
Molecule: ribosomal RNA, 500 nt
Filed under: uncultured bacterium
Lineage: Bacteria
Description: partial 16S ribosomal RNA
Rfam family: Bacterial small subunit ribosomal RNA
Source: RNAcentral